GACGAACGCUGGCGGCGUGCUUAACACAUGCAAGUCGAACGGGCGGGCCUUCUUUUUUGGGGGGGUGGGAGAGGGGACGGGGGGUGAAUACCAUGUGAAUCACCCCCUCGCCUUUGGUGGACAUCCGGUAAACUGGGCGAAUAACAGGGGGGGGGCCCUUGGUGCCGGGUGGGGUUGGGAAGGUUGGGCGGUUGGGGAUGGGGUUUCGGCGUGUUCGGGUGUUUGGGGGGUUGUGGCUUUCCAAGGGUUUGUGGGGGAGCCGGCCUGAGAGGGGGACCGGGCACAUUGGGACUGAGAUACGGCCCGGACUCCUACGGGGGGCUGCAGUGGGGAAUGUUGCACGAUGGGCGGAAGCCUGAUGCAGCAACGCCGCGUGCGGGAUGACGGCCUUCGGGUUGUAAACCGCUUUCGCCUGUGACGAAGCGUGAGUGACGGUAAUGGGUAAAGAAGCACCGGCUAACUACGUG
This 467-nucleotide ribosomal RNA is filed under the name uncultured bacterium. RNAcentral's name for it is "partial 16S ribosomal RNA". It matches the Rfam family "Bacterial small subunit ribosomal RNA", at positions 28 to 507 of the family's 1533-position model. The record is from RNAcentral.